AAUCUUGCUCAAUGGGCGAAAGCCUGAAGCAGCAACGCCGCGUGCGGGAUGAAGGCCCUCGGGUUGUAAACCGCUUUCAGCAGGGAAGAAAACAGACGGUACCUGCAGAAGAAGGUCCGGCUAACUACGUGCCAGCAGCCGCGGUAACACGUAGGGGCCGAGCGUUGUCCGGAUUCAUUGGGCGUAAAGAGCUCGUAGGCGGUUCAGUUAGUCGGGUGUGAAAUCUCCGGGCUCAACCCGGAGGGGCCACCCGAUACUGCUGUGACUCGAGUCCGGUAGGGGAGUGGGGAAUUCCUGGUGUAGCGGUGAAAUGCGCAGAUAUCAGGAGGAACACCGGUGGCGAAGGCGCCACUCUGGGCCGGUACUGACGCUGAGGAGCGAAAGCGUGGGUAGCAAACAGGAUUAGAUACCCUGGUAGUCCACGCUGUAAACGGUGGGCACUAGGUGUGGGUCCUUACCAACGGGAUCCGUGCCGUAGCUAACGCAUUAAGUGCCCCGCCUGGGGAGUACGGCCGCAAGGCUA
This 523-nucleotide ribosomal RNA is filed under the name uncultured Actinomycetes bacterium. RNAcentral's name for it is "bacterial SSU rRNA". It matches the Rfam family "Bacterial small subunit ribosomal RNA", at positions 360 to 896 of the family's 1533-position model. The record is from RNAcentral. Lineage: Bacteria; Bacillati; Actinomycetota; Actinomycetes.